CCAUGUUGAUCCAUUUGUGGUUAUAGUUAACCUUGAUUGUUUGCUGGCUAACCACAAAUGGUUAUAUGUUGGAUCUUCUAAUCUAUCUCAUCUCAAUGGCUAUAUGUUGGAUAUUCUAUAUCAAAUCUCAUAUCUUUAGGAAAUGUCAUCUCUGUGCUCAAACUAUAUCUCAUGAGGGACAAAUAUACAUAUGGAUCCCAAUCUAACUCUUUUGAACUAUCAUAUACUCUUCAACCAAGAAAUCUCAAGGCUUUCCUGCGGGUUAAGUCAAAACCGGAAGUUUCGGUUUCCAGAAACCAGCAUUUCUGGUUUCCAUUGGUUUUCCAACAGUUCUAUUUCAUGGGCCCGUAAAUUACCCCUCUCUCUCCCCCAUUCACCCUUAUCCACCCAGCCCGACAUUGAACAAUAGAGAGAGGCGGAAGAGGGUGAAAAGGAGGCGAUUCAAAGGGAUGUCAAUAUUCAACCGAGGGAUUCAAGACUUUGUUGUUGAUUCUUCCGAUUCAAGACCGGAGCAUUCAUUUCCCCCUCCGUUUUCAUCCUCCGUAACUCAAUAAUCAUGUUCAAGGUACCCUAAAUCAAGUUCAUCCCUGAUAUACCUUUCUAGGGCUAAUCUCUGAAUUUCCUGUGGUCAAAUCAUCUGCAUUAGAACCAUAGAUGCUACUCCUUGAACUAGAUUCAAGUUUCCAUGGCUGAACAGUUGGAUCCAUGAAUUAGG
RNAcentral lists this long non-coding RNA (715 nucleotides) under Setaria viridis. RNAcentral describes it as "long non-coding RNA (SVIR_LNC009508)". Lineage: Eukaryota; Viridiplantae; Streptophyta; Magnoliopsida; Poales; Poaceae. The record is from RNAcentral.